CCUACGGGUGGCAGCAGUGAGGAAUAUUGGUCAAUGGACGAGAGUCUGAACCAGCCAAGUAGCGUGAAGGAUGACUGCCCUAUGGGUUGUAAACUUCUUUUAUAUGGGAAUAAAAUGUUCCACGUGUGGGAUUUUGUAUGUACCAUAUGAAUAAGGAUCGGCUAACUCCGUGCCAGCAGCCGCGGUAAUACGGAGGAUCCGAGCGUUAACCGGAUUUUUUGGGUUUAAAGGGAGCGUAGGUGGGUUUUUAAGUCAGUUGUGAAAGUUUGCGGCUCAACCGUAAAAUUGCAGUUGAAACUGGCAGUCUUGAGUGCAGGAGAGGUAGGCGGAAUUCGUGGUGUAGCGGUGAAAUGCUUAGAUAUCACGAAGAACUCCGAUUGCGAAGGCAGCUUACUGGACUGCAACUGACACUGAGGCUCGAAAGUGUGGGUAUCAAACAGGAUUAGAUACCCUUGUAGUC
Molecule: ribosomal RNA, 460 nt
Filed under: uncultured bacterium
Lineage: Bacteria
Description: partial 16S ribosomal RNA
Rfam family: Bacterial small subunit ribosomal RNA
Source: RNAcentral